AUUGAACGCUGGCGGCAGGCCUAACACAUGCAAGUCGAGCGCGAGAGGCCUUCGGGCUGAGUAGAGCGGCGGACGGGUGAGUAACGCGUAGGAAUCUACCUGGUAGUGGGGGACAACUUGGGGAAACUCAAGCUAAUACCGCAUACGCCCUAUGGGGGAAAGUGGGGCCUUCGGGCCUCACGCUAUCAGAUGAGCCUGCGUAGGAUUAGCUAGUUGGUGAGGUAAAGGCUCACCAAGGCGACGAUCCUUAGCUGGUCUGAGAGGAUGAUCAGCCACACUGGGACUGAGACACGGCCCAGACUCCUACGGGAGGCAGCAGUGGGGAAUAUUGCGCAAUGGGGGGCAACCCUGACGCAGCCAUGCCGCGUGUGUGAAG
This 376-nucleotide ribosomal RNA is filed under the name uncultured bacterium. Its description in RNAcentral is "bacterial SSU rRNA". It matches the Rfam family "Bacterial small subunit ribosomal RNA", at positions 29 to 410 of the family's 1533-position model. The record is from RNAcentral.